Molecule: non-coding RNA, 72 nt
Organism: Bos taurus (domestic cattle)
Lineage: Eukaryota; Metazoa; Chordata; Mammalia; Artiodactyla; Bovidae
Source: Rfam
UCCCUAGUGGCUCAAAUGGUAAAGCGUCUGCCUGCAAUGCAGGAGACCCAGGUUUGAUCCCUGGAUUGGGAA